This is a ribosomal RNA of Ochotona princeps (American pika), 106 nucleotides long. Lineage: Eukaryota; Metazoa; Chordata; Mammalia; Lagomorpha; Ochotonidae. The record is from Ensembl.
CCCUACGGUCAUGCCGCCCUGCAUAUGCCCAGUCUCAUCUGAUCCCAGAAGCCAAGCGGGGCAGGCCUGAGUGGCACUUGGAAGGCAUAGAGGUAUAGAACAGGGC